Molecule: transfer RNA, 90 nt
Filed under: Candidatus Amesiibacteriota bacterium
Lineage: Bacteria; Candidatus Amesiibacteriota
Description: Candidatus Amesbacteria bacterium (hot springs metagenome) tRNA-Ser
Rfam family: tRNA
About the family: Transfer RNA (tRNA) molecules are approximately 80 nucleotides in length. Their secondary structure includes four short double-helical elements and three loops (D, anti-codon, and T loops).
Source: RNAcentral
GGAGAGGUCGCAUAGUGGACUAGUGCGUGCGCUUGGAGAGCGCAUGUCGCCGUAAGGUGACCGUGGGUUCGAAUCCCACCCUCUCCGCCG